This is a non-coding RNA of Phalacrocorax carbo (great cormorant), 855 nucleotides long. Lineage: Eukaryota; Metazoa; Chordata; Aves; Suliformes; Phalacrocoracidae. The record is from RefSeq and is a predicted model, not a curated record.
CUUCGUUUUUUGUGUAGCCAUUAACUUCUUUAAUGAGACUCUGCUGGAACAAAGAUGUAGCUAUUCCAGAGCUUGGCCAAGUGUUGUUAUUGCAGUUAAGACUAAAGUGUGCUUUUAACUUUGCAGCUUGUGAUGAAAGUUGUUGCAUCAGUGGGAGUUCCUGGCAAUACCUUCUUAGAUUCCCCGAGAUGAGCUUGCCUUGGGUAAUCUCAGAGAAAGCAGUGCAAUGCAGCUGGAUGCCAAGCUUUGGUCAGAGAUGUGAAAAGGCUAGGGUGGUACUCACUCUCCCUUGCACCUCCCUGGCAGUCUCUGAGGACAUAGCUUCAUUUCACCAGCUCCGGAUCCUAACUCAGAAUGAGAUUUCUUUGCACCAGCAAGUAACAAGACCUGUUCCAAAGAGCGAACUAUUUAAGUAGGCAUGAUGGACAAAGAGCAGCAGCAGAAAAUCAUCGUUAUUCCCCGCUUCAUGGAUGGCAAACUGAAAGACAGAUUCAAUGACCUGCCAAGGGUCACAUAGGAAAAAAGUAAUUCAUAAAUCCCAGCACAAGGUCUUAAGCCAUGAGAUCUCCUCUCAUUCUUUAAUCAAUAAUAAAACACCACAGAUGUCUAAGAAUCUAAUAUCUACAAAAUUGCUCCAAGGUCUACAGGCAUGAUACAAUUAAUUUCCAUUAAGAGCAAUGUGAUGUGAGGGCACUCUCUAUUGACCAGAAAAGUAGGCCUUGAAGAGUUUGCAGUUUUUAAAAUAUUCUUUUAAUAGAGAAUAUAAAGAUCAGGGAGAGUCAAAUUAAAAUAAAAAUGAGGGGAAACAGUUGCCAGUUUAGCUUUGAACCAAGCUAAAUCCAAAGUAACAGAUUC